This 242-nucleotide long non-coding RNA is filed under the name Lathyrus oleraceus (garden pea). RNAcentral's name for it is "Pisum sativum (pea) long non-coding RNA (PSAT_LNC015111)". The record is from RNAcentral. Lineage: Eukaryota; Viridiplantae; Streptophyta; Magnoliopsida; Fabales; Fabaceae.
UAAGAGAGCCUUUUCAGGCGGUGCUUUGAUGCUUACAACAAUGGAUGGGGAGGAUUUCACUCGUCCUGUGAAUUCAGAUGCAGUUAAGAGAUACUUUGCCUAAAAAAAAAAAAAUAUAUGCAAAUGAAAAAAGAAUGAAAAAAAACAGAAUUGCUCGCUAAGUUGAAAACCCGAAAGGGCGGCUUAGGCAAAAAUGAGCGUCUCGGUGGAGAACCCGCAAGGGUAAUCCAGGCAAAAAUUAG